This 1183-nucleotide ribosomal RNA is filed under the name Klebsiella oxytoca. RNAcentral describes it as "bacterial LSU rRNA". It matches the Rfam family "Bacterial large subunit ribosomal RNA", at positions 1762 to 2925 of the family's 2925-position model. The record is from RNAcentral. Lineage: Bacteria; Pseudomonadati; Pseudomonadota; Gammaproteobacteria; Enterobacterales; Enterobacteriaceae. RNAcentral also lists the same sequence under 1 other name.
UGGAGCUGAAAUCAGUCGAAGAUACCAGCUGGCUGCAACUGUUUAUUAAAAACACAGCACUGUGCAAACACGAAAGUGGACGUAUACGGUGUGACGCCUGCCCGGUGCCGGAAGGUUAAUUGAUGGGGUUAUCCUCACGGAGAAGCUCUUGAUCGAAGCCCCGGUAAACGGCGGCCGUAACUAUAACGGUCCUAAGGUAGCGAAAUUCCUUGUCGGGUAAGUUCCGACCUGCACGAAUGGCGUAAUGAUGGCCAGGCUGUCUCCACCCGAGACUCAGUGAAAUUGAACUCGCUGUGAAGAUGCAGUGUACCCGCGGCAAGACGGAAAGACCCCGUGAACCUUUACUAUAGCUUGACACUGAACACUGGUCCUUGAUGUGUAGGAUAGGUGGGAGGCUUUGAAGUGUGGACGCCAGUCUGCAUGGAGCCAUCCUUGAAAUACCACCCUUUAAUGGCUGGUGUUCUAACGUGGGCCCGUAAUCCGGGUUGCGGACAGUGUCUGGUGGGUAGUUUGACUGGGGCGGUCUCCUCCUAAAGAGUAACGGAGGAGCACGAAGGUCAGCUAAUCCUGGUCGGACAUCAGGAGGUUAGUGCAAUGGCAUAAGCUGGCUUGACUGCGAGCGUGACGGCGCGAGCAGGUGCGAAAGCAGGUCAUAGUGAUCCGGUGGUUCUGAAUGGAAGGGCCAUCGCUCAACGGAUAAAAGGUACUCCGGGGAUAACAGGCUGAUACCGCCCAAGAGUUCAUAUCGACGGCGGUGUUUGGCACCUCGAUGUCGGCUCAUCACAUCCUGGGGCUGAAGUAGGUCCCAAGGGUAUGGCUGUUCGCCAUUUAAAGUGGUACGCGAGCUGGGUUUAGAACGUCGUGAGACAGUUCGGUCCCUAUCUGCCGUGGGCGCUGGAGAAUUGAGGGGGGCUGCUCCUAGUACGAGAGGACCGGAGUGGACGCAUCACUGGUGUUCGGGUUGUCAUGCCAAUGGCAUUGCCCGGUAGCUAAAUGCGGAAGAGAUAAGUGCUGAAAGCAUCUAAGCACGAAACUUGCCCCGAGAUGAGUUCUCCCUGACCCUUUAAGGGUCCUGAAGGAACGUUGAAGACGACGACGUUGAUAGGCCGGGUGUGUAAGCGCAGCGAUGCGUUGAGCUAACCGGUACUAAUGAACCGUGAGGCUUAACCUUACAACGCCGAAG